RNAcentral lists this ribosomal RNA (497 nucleotides) under uncultured bacterium. RNAcentral describes it as "partial 16S ribosomal RNA". It matches the Rfam family "Bacterial small subunit ribosomal RNA", at positions 28 to 507 of the family's 1533-position model. The record is from RNAcentral.
GAUGAACGCUGGCGGCGUGCCUAAUACAUGCAAGUCGAGCGAACGGACGAGAAGCUUGCUUCUCUGAUGUUAGCGGCGGACGGGUGAGUAACACGUGGAUAACCUACCUAUAAGACUGGGAUAACUUCGGGAAACCGGAGCUAAUACCGGAUAAUAUUUUGAACCGCAUGGUCCAAAAGUGAAAGACGGUCUUGCUGUCACUUAUAGAUGGAUCCGCGCUGCAUUAGCUAGUUGGUAAGGUAACGGCUUACCAAGGCAACGAUGCAUAGCCGACCUGAGAGGGUGAUCGGCCACACUGGAACUGAGACACGGUCCAGACUCCUACGGGAGGCAGCAGUAGGGAAUCUUCCGCAAUGGGCGAAAGCCUGACGGAGCAACGCCGCGUGAGUGAUGAAGGUCUUCGGAUCGUAAAACUCUGUUAUUAGGGAAGAACAGAUGUGUAAGUAACUGUGCACGUCUUGACGGUACCUAAUCAGAAAGCCACGGCUAACUACGUG